GACGAACGCUGGCGGCGUGCUUAACACAUGCAAGUCGAACGGAAAGGCCCUGCUUGCAGGGUACUCGAGUGGCGAACGGGUGAGUAACGCGUGGGUGAUCUGCCCUGCACUUCGGGAUAAGCUUGGGAAACUGGGUCUAAUACCGGAUAGGAGCCAUCUUUAGUGUGGUGGUUGGAAAGUUUUUUCGGUGUAGGAUGAGCUCGCGGCCUAUCAGCUUGUUGGUGGGGUAAUGGCCUACCAAGGCGGCGACGGGUAGCCGGCCUGAGAGGGUGUACGGCCACAUUGGGACUGAGAUACGGCCCAGACUCCUACGGGAGGCAGCAGUGGGGAAUAUUGCACAAUGGGCGCAAGCCUGAUGCAGCGACGCCGCGUGGGGGAUGAAGGCCUUCGGGUUGUAAACUCCUUUCGCUAGGGACGAAGCUUUUUUGUGACGGUACCUAGAUAAGAAGCACCGGCUAACUACGUG
Molecule: ribosomal RNA, 466 nt
Filed under: uncultured bacterium
Lineage: Bacteria
Description: partial 16S ribosomal RNA
Rfam family: Bacterial small subunit ribosomal RNA
Source: RNAcentral